GAUGAACGCUAGCGGGAGGCCUAACACAUGCAAGCCGAGCGGUAUUUGUUCUUCGGAACUGAGAGAGCGGCGCACGGGUGCGGAACACGUGUGCAACCUGCCUUUAUCUGGGGAUAGCCUUUCGAAAGGAAGAUUAAUACCCCAUAAUAUAUUGAGUGGCAUCAUUUGAUAUUGAAAACUCCGGUGGAUAGAGAUGGGCACGCGCAGGAUUAGAUAGUUGGUGAGGUAACGGCUCACCAAGUCAAUGAUCUUUAGGGGGCCUGAGAGGGUGAUCCCCCACACUGGUACUGAGACACGGACCAGACUCCUACGGGAGGCAGCAGUGAGGAAUAUUGGACAAUGGGUUAGCGCCUGAUCCAGCCAUCCCGCGUGAAGGACGACGGCCCUAUGGGUUGUAAACUUCUUUUGUAUAGGGAUAAACCUACUCUCGUGAGAGUAGCUGAAGGUACUAUACGAAUAAGCACCGGCUAACUCCGUG
RNAcentral lists this ribosomal RNA (478 nucleotides) under uncultured bacterium. RNAcentral describes it as "partial 16S ribosomal RNA". It matches the Rfam family "Bacterial small subunit ribosomal RNA", at positions 28 to 507 of the family's 1533-position model. The record is from RNAcentral.